RNAcentral lists this ribosomal RNA (464 nucleotides) under Vreelandella stevensii. RNAcentral describes it as "partial 16S ribosomal RNA". It matches the Rfam family "Bacterial small subunit ribosomal RNA", at positions 338 to 795 of the family's 1533-position model. The record is from RNAcentral. Lineage: Bacteria; Pseudomonadati; Pseudomonadota; Gammaproteobacteria; Oceanospirillales; Halomonadaceae.
CCUAGGGUGGCAGCAGUGGGGAAUAUUGGACAAUGGGCGAAAGCCUGAUCCAGCCAUGCCGCGUGUGUGAAGAAGGCCUUCGGGUUGUAAAGCACUUUCAGUGGGGAAGAAAGCCUUGGGGCUAAUACCCUCGAGGAAGGACAUCACCCACAGAAGAAGCACCGGCUAACUCCGUGCCAGCAGCCGCGGUAAUACGGAGGGUGCGAGCGUUAAUCGGAAUUACUGGGCGUAAAGCGCGCGUAGGCGGUCUGAUAAGCCGGUUGUGAAAGCCCCGGGCUCAACCUGGGAACGGCAUCCGGAACUGUCAGGCUAGAGUGCAGGAGAGGAAGGUAGAAUUCCCGGUGUAGCGGUGAAAUGCGUAGAGAUCGGGAGGAAUACCAGUGGCGAAGGCGGUCUUCUGGACUGACACUGACGCUGAGGUGCGAAAGCGUGGGUAGCAAACAGGAUUAGAUACCCCUGUAGUC